Molecule: transfer RNA, 73 nt
Filed under: SAR202 cluster bacterium
Lineage: Bacteria; Bacillati; Chloroflexota; Dehalococcoidia
Description: tRNA-Phe
Rfam family: tRNA
About the family: Transfer RNA (tRNA) molecules are approximately 80 nucleotides in length. Their secondary structure includes four short double-helical elements and three loops (D, anti-codon, and T loops). Further hydrogen bonds mediate the characteristic L-shaped molecular structure. tRNAs have two regions of fundamental functional importance: the anti-codon, which is responsible for specific mRNA codon recognition, and the 3' end, to which the tRNAs corresponding amino acid is attached (by aminoacyl-tRNA synthetases). tRNAs cope with the degeneracy of the genetic code in two manners: having more than one tRNA (with a specific anti-codon) for a particular amino acid; and 'wobble' base-pairing, i.e. permitting non-standard base-pairing at the 3rd anti-codon position.
Source: RNAcentral
GCCGAGGUAGCUCAGUUGGUAGAGCACAGCACUGAAAAUGCUGGUGACGUCAGUUCGAUUCUGACCCUCGGCA